AUAGAGCAACACGUUCUAUGCAGUUUAUGAA
Molecule: non-coding RNA, 31 nt
Filed under: Klebsiella pneumoniae subsp. pneumoniae
Lineage: Bacteria; Pseudomonadati; Pseudomonadota; Gammaproteobacteria; Enterobacterales; Enterobacteriaceae
Source: RNAcentral